CUGUUGCUACAGAGAAAUGGUGAUUUGACCAAACAUUUGGAAUCCUCUUUCUCUGAUGAGAUCUUAAGGGCCAUAUUACGAAGAACUUUAUUCAUCUUUAUGUGUUUCAUCUCAGAGCUCUCUAGCAAAGAUACAUUGAUGAGAUCAUUCAAUAUUUCUAUUCCUCUGUCGCGUGCAGUGAACUCAUCCGCAUCACGAAUGAAACCUUCAGCUCUCCAGCAUUCCAGCAAAUAAUCCAUAUAGACAUUGCAACCUUCAGUAAAUAAUGC
Molecule: unclassified non-coding RNA, 269 nt
Filed under: Hevea brasiliensis (rubber tree)
Lineage: Eukaryota; Viridiplantae; Streptophyta; Magnoliopsida; Malpighiales; Euphorbiaceae
Source: RNAcentral